Molecule: transfer RNA, 77 nt
Filed under: Burkholderiales bacterium
Lineage: Bacteria; Pseudomonadati; Pseudomonadota; Betaproteobacteria; Burkholderiales
Also listed under: 2 other names
Description: tRNA-Arg
Rfam family: tRNA
About the family: Transfer RNA (tRNA) molecules are approximately 80 nucleotides in length. Their secondary structure includes four short double-helical elements and three loops (D, anti-codon, and T loops).
Source: RNAcentral
GCGCCCAUAGCUCAGUUGGAUAGAGUGUUGGUUUCCGAAGCCAAAGGUCGCAGGUUCGAUUCCUGCUGGGCGCGCCA